UGAAAUGCGAUAAGUAAUGUGAAUUGCAGAAUCUCGUGAAUCAUUGAAUCUUUGAACGCACAUUGCGCCCUAUGGUAAUCCGUAGGGCAUGCCUGUCUGAGCGUCAGCUCACAUCCUCAAACUAAUUUUUUUUAGUUUGGAUGACAUUGGGAAAGCAUUUCAUUAGUAUAUGCUUCCCAGAAAUCUAUAGGCGGUACGGUUCCAACAAAACCAAGACGUAGUAAAUUUUAUUUCGUCUUUUCUUUGUUUAAUGGAUCUGUUGGCUUGCCUUUUGAACCCACAUUUCAUUCUUUGUAGGAAUGACCUCAGAUCAGGUAGGGAUACCCGCUGAACUUAA
Molecule: unclassified non-coding RNA, 337 nt
Filed under: uncultured Ascomycota
Lineage: Eukaryota; Fungi; Ascomycota
Description: sequence contains ITS1
Rfam family: 5.8S ribosomal RNA (bases 1-106)
Source: RNAcentral